Molecule: ribosomal RNA, 118 nt
Filed under: Salmo salar (Atlantic salmon)
Lineage: Eukaryota; Metazoa; Chordata; Actinopteri; Salmoniformes; Salmonidae
Source: RNAcentral
GCUACGGCCAUACCAGCCUGGGUACGCCCGAUCUCGUCUGAUCUCGGAAGCUAAGCAGGGUCGGGCCUGGUUAGUACUUGGAUGGGAGACCGCCUGGGAAUACCAGGUGCUGUAAGCA